RNAcentral lists this ribosomal RNA (443 nucleotides) under uncultured Sinobacteraceae bacterium. Its description in RNAcentral is "bacterial SSU rRNA". It matches the Rfam family "Bacterial small subunit ribosomal RNA", at positions 940 to 1382 of the family's 1533-position model. Lineage: Bacteria; Pseudomonadati; Pseudomonadota; Gammaproteobacteria; Nevskiales; Nevskiaceae. The record is from RNAcentral.
UGUGGUUUAAUUCGAUGCAACGCGAAGAACCUUACCUGGGCUUGACAUCCCGGGAAUCCCUGGAAACAAGGGAGUGCCCUUCGGGGAACCUGGAGACAGGGUGCUGCAUGGCUGUCGUCAGCUCGUGUCGUGAGAUGUAGGGUUAAGUCCCGCAACGAGCGCAACCCUUGUCUUUAAUUGCCAUCAUUGAGUUGGGCACUUUAAAGAGACUGCCGGUGUUAAACCGGAGGAAGGUGGGGAUGACGUCAAGUCCUCAUGGCCUUUAUGCCCAGGGCUACACACGUGCUACAAUGGGUGGUACAAAGGGUCGCCAACCCGCGAGGGGGAGCCAAUCCCAUAAAGCCAUUCGUAGUCCGGAUCGCAGUCUGCAACUCGACUGCGUGAAGUCGGAAUCGCUAGUAAUCGUGGAUCAGAAUGUCACGGUGAAUACGUUCCCGGGUCUU